UUCCGGUUGAUCCUGCCGGAGGCUACCGCUAUUGGAGUUCGAUUAAGCCAUGCGAGUCGCGAGUCUUAGGGACUCGGCGUACCGCUCAGUAACACGUGGGUAACCUGCCCUAUGCUGGGGGAUAACCUCGGGAAACUGAGAAUAAUACCCCAUAGUUCACCACGCCUGGAACGGUGGGUGGACCAAAGCUCCGGCGGCAUAGGAUGGGCCUGCGGCGUAUCAGGUUGUAGGGGGUGUAAUGUACCCUCUAGCCCUCUACGCGUACGGGUGUUGAGAGACAUCGCCCGGAGAUGGAUUCUGAGACACGAAUCCAGACCCUACGGGGUGCAGCAGGCGCGAAAACUUGGCAAUGCGAGAAAUCGUGACCAGGGAACUCCAAGUGCAUCGGGUAAGACCGAUGCUUUUCUUGACUCUUCAAAGGUCUUGGAAUAAGGGGUGGGUAAGGACGGUGCCAGCCGCCGCGGUAAUACCGGCGCCCCAAGUGGUAGUCGCUUUUAUUGGGCCUAAAACGUCCGUAGCCGGUCUGAUACAUUCGUGGGUAAAUCAACUAGCUCAACUAGUUGAAUUCUGCGAGGACGGUCAGACUUGGGACCGGGAGAGGUGUGGGGUACGCUCAGGGUAGGGGUAAAAUCCUGUCAUCCUAAGCGGACCACCUGUUGCGAAGGCGCCACACUAGAACGGAUCCGACGGUCAGGGACGAAGCCUAGGGGCACGAACCGGAUUAGAUACCCGGGUAGUCCCAGCUGUAAACGAUGCAGACUCGAUGAUGCAUUGGCAUAUAGCCAGUGCAGUGUCGCAGGGAAGCCGUUAAGUCUGCCGCCUGGGAAGUACGUACGCAAGUAUGAAACUUAAAGGAAUUGGCGGGGGAGCACCACAAGGGGUGAAGCCUGCGGUUCAAUUGGAUUCAACGCCGG
This 914-nucleotide ribosomal RNA is filed under the name uncultured marine archaeon. Its description in RNAcentral is "bacterial SSU rRNA". It matches the Rfam family "Archaeal small subunit ribosomal RNA", at positions 1 to 921 of the family's 1478-position model. The record is from RNAcentral.